GACGAACGCUGGCGGCGUGCCUAAUACAUGCAAGUAGAACGCUGAAGGAGGGGCUUGCUUCUCUGGAUGAGUUCCGAACGGGUGAGUAACGCGUAGGUAACCUGCCUGGUAGCGGGGGAUAACUCUUGGAAACGAUAGCUAAUACCGCAUAAGAGUAGAUGUCGCAUGACAUUUGCUUGAAAGGUGCAAUUUCGUCACUACCAGAUGGCCCUGCGUUGUAUUUGCUAGUUGGUGAGGUAACGGCUCACCAAGGCGACGAUACAUAGCCGAACUGAGAGGGGGGUCAGCCACACUGGGACUGAGACACGGCCCAGACGCCCACGGGAAGCAGCAGGAGGGAAACUUCGGCAAGGGACGGAAGUCUGACCGAGAAACGCCGCGUGAGUGAAGAAGGGUUUCGGAUCGGAAAGCUCUGUUGUAAGAGAAGAACGAGUGUGAGAGUGGAAAGUUCACACAGUGACGGUAUCUUACCAGAAAGGGACGGCUAACUACGUG
This 495-nucleotide ribosomal RNA is filed under the name uncultured bacterium. RNAcentral describes it as "partial 16S ribosomal RNA". It matches the Rfam family "Bacterial small subunit ribosomal RNA", at positions 28 to 507 of the family's 1533-position model. The record is from RNAcentral.